UACGUAGGGGGCGAGCGUUGUCCGGAAUUACUGGGCGUAAAGGGUGCGUAGGUGGCUUGUUAAGUUGGAUGUGAAAUCUCCGGGCUCAACUUGGGUGGUGCAUUCAAAACUGGCGAGCUAGAGUGCAGGAGAGGGAAGCGGAAUUCCUAGUGUAGCGGUGAAAUGCGUAGAUAUUAGGAGGAACACCAGUGGCGAAGGCGGCUUUCUGGACUGUAACUGACACUGAGGCACGAAAGCGUGGGGAGCAAACAGGAUUAGAUACCCUGAUUGUCCUCGCUGUAAACGAUGAAUACUAGGUGUAGGGGGUAUGAACUCCACCUGUGCCGCAGUUAACGCAAUAAGUAUUCCGCCUGGGGAGUACGGCCGCAAGGUUGA
RNAcentral lists this ribosomal RNA (375 nucleotides) under uncultured bacterium. RNAcentral describes it as "bacterial SSU rRNA". It matches the Rfam family "Bacterial small subunit ribosomal RNA", at positions 524 to 897 of the family's 1533-position model. The record is from RNAcentral.